Molecule: ribosomal RNA, 301 nt
Filed under: uncultured bacterium
Lineage: Bacteria
Description: partial 16S ribosomal RNA
Rfam family: Bacterial small subunit ribosomal RNA
Source: RNAcentral
CAGCAGCCGCGGGAAUACGGAGGAUCCAAGCGUUAUCCGGAAUCAUUGGGUUUAAAGGGUCCGUAGGCGGUCUUGUAAGUCAGUGGUGAAAGCCCAUCGCUCAACGGUGGAACGGCCAUUGAUACUGCAGGACUUGAAUUAUUGGGAAGUAACUAGAAUAUGUAGUGUAGCGGUGAAAUGCUUAGAGAUUACAUGGAAUACCAAUUGCGAAGGCAGGUUACUACCAAUUGAUUGACGCUGAUGGACGAAAGCGUGGGUAGCGAACAGGAUUAGAUACCCGGGUAGUCCCUGUCUCUUAUAC